Molecule: ribosomal RNA, 633 nt
Filed under: Leifsonia sp. SNMS20
Lineage: Bacteria; Bacillati; Actinomycetota; Actinomycetes; Micrococcales; Microbacteriaceae
Description: bacterial SSU rRNA
Rfam family: Bacterial small subunit ribosomal RNA
Source: RNAcentral
GGGGAGCGAACAGGAUUAGAUACCCUGGUAGUCCACGCCGUAAACGUUGGGCGCUAGAUGUGGGGASCAUUCCACGGUUUCCGUGUCGCAGCUAACGCAUUAAGCGCCCCGCCUGGGGAGUACGGCCGCMAGGCUAAAACUCAAAGGAAUUGACGGGGGCCCRCACAARCGGCGGAGCAUGCGGAUUAAUUCGAUGCAACGCGAAGAACCUUACCAAGGCUUGACAUACACGAGAACGGGCCAGAAAUGGUCAACUCUUUGGACACUCGUGAACAGGUGGUGCAUGGUUGUCGUCAGCUCGUGUCGUGAGAUGUUGGGUUAAGUCCCGCAACGAGCGCAACCCUCGUUCUAUGUUGCCAGCGCGUAAUGGCGGGAACUCAUAGGAGACUGCCGGGGUCAACUCGGAGGAAGGUGGGGAUGACGUCAAAUCAUCAUGCCCCUUAUGUCUUGGGCUUCACGCAUGCUACAAUGGCCGGUACAAAGGGCUGCAAUACCGUAAGGUGGAGCGAAUCCCAAAAAGCCGGUCUCAGUUCGGAUUGAGGUCUGCAACUCGACCUCAUGAAGUCGGAGUCGCUAGUAAUCGCAGAUCAGCAACGCUGCGGUGAAUACGUUCCCGGGCCUUGUACACACCGA